GCUUUGGAUGCGCGGUCGCAUUUGUCCCAGCUGCCAGACGCGGAGCAGGCUGGUGACGGGGAACCGACAAGGGCGCCAGGUGUUCAACCAGCUGGAGACCAAGGUGUGUUCCUGGGAGCACUGCAGGUCCCGGCUCAGGAAGAGGCCAGCUCUUCCUGCCCUCUGGCCCAGGAAGCAUAGGACCACUUCCCGGGUGGGCAGCAUCUGGAUCCAGCACCCCAGCUGAGCUCAGCCUCCUAGGGCAGCAGAGGCACAUGGAGCAGACUCCUCCUGUUGGCCAGGAGUGCUCGAUAGACACGGAGCACUGGGACCUGAUCGCUGCCGGGCUGGGGCUCAUCCCCCUCGCCCAAGCCAUUACCAGGCGGGCAAACGCUCUGGGUGCCAAGAAUGGAUGAGCCGCUCCCUCCCAGAGACGGGGCCUCCGCUGACAGAUGAAAUCUUCAUUAUGAUGAUUUUUAUUAGGGGUGUGUUUUUGCACACACACACACGCGAUGCAGACACAUCUGGGGCCCAGGCGCCGCUGAAAUCCCCACCAAUGUGGCUCAUGAAUAUUCCACGGCGGUGCCCGCCACACUUUGCAGUCAUCGAUUAUUUAUUCGUGGAACAAGGAAAGCUUCAUAAAUAAUGAAAGCACUGCGUCCCAGCUGUGGCCCAGGUGAGGAGAUGGGCCCUGGGGUCCGCGGGAGAGCAGCAGUGUUCCCGUGGUGCUGCCUCGCAGACCAGAUCCCAGCCCCUCCUAGGAGGGAGGCUCGCGUGUCUGGGAGCAGGUGUGAGCGCGUGCGAGCGCUCCCUUGUCCACUGGAGAGCGUCUGCACACACUGCACAGAGCGCCUGGCCUUGUCUGUCCUGGAAAUUACAGAAAGGCUCUGCUGGGCGGGGAGAAGUCUCCUUUUACUCCCAAGCUGGGAAAACGCGGGCUAUGUCCUAGUUAAAUUCUGUACAACCUCAACCUUGGGGCUGUUGACUCAAGGUAUUCUGGUGUCGGAUUCACCAGGGAAAACUGUUGGAGGUACUUUUUCCUUACGUCACCCCUUUCCAUACACAGCAGGUCUUCAAGGGACAGAGGAAGCCUCCGAUCGACCUCGUCUCUCUCGUUGGGUUGCUUCCCGGUAAAGAAACCUGCUCUGUCUGGCUAGCACGGGGCCAGGCGUGGGCAUCUACGUAAAGGGGGGCACAUUUCCCCUGGGACAGUGAACGGGGGAAGGAAGUGCGUGGACUGUAUUGAUUGGAACAUUGAGUUCUCCAUGCGAAGCAGAAGUUAAGUAAAAUUCAAGCAGGGGUUGUUCCUGGUGAGACAGAAUCACUUAGGGGAGCUUAGGGAAAAAAAAGUUAAAUUAAGCACCUUCAUUUCAAGAUGAUUAUAGAUUUACCUGCACUUGUAAGACAACGUUGGUAUCAUGCACAACUCUACCAUGAUAUCACACCAGGAAAUUGACAAUAGAGUCUGCACUCAGUGCAGUCCUGAAUCGUGUGUGCCUAUGGUUUGCAUAUGGGACACCAGUCAAGACACACAGCGGUCACAUUGGCCCAAGGACCCCUUGUGUCACCCGCAUGUAACCUCAGCCACCUUUCCCUGAGCUGUGCUCACACCCCAAGCCCACCCCUGACUCCCAACAACCACCGGUUUCUCUGUGUCCACAAUGGUUAUUUUGUGGGUGUUACCUAAGUACAACCAUGUCACCUUUUGGGACUGACUUUUUUUAUGCACGAAGGGUAAUCCCCUUAAAAUGCAUCCUGAUUGCCAGGUGUUAUCAGUAGUUGGUUCCUUUUUGUUCCACGGCUCGGAUGUGAUUCUGCGGAGUGGACGGAGCAGUCUGUUUACCGGGGAACUGCUGGAAGAUAUCUGAGUGGUUUCCUGUUUGGGGCUCUCACAAAUAAAGCUGCUAUUGAUGCUGCCUCA
This is a long non-coding RNA of Ictidomys tridecemlineatus (thirteen-lined ground squirrel), 1900 nucleotides long. RefSeq lists it as uncharacterized. Lineage: Eukaryota; Metazoa; Chordata; Mammalia; Rodentia; Sciuridae. The record is from RefSeq and is a predicted model, not a curated record.